This 492-nucleotide ribosomal RNA is filed under the name uncultured bacterium. Its description in RNAcentral is "partial 16S ribosomal RNA". It matches the Rfam family "Bacterial small subunit ribosomal RNA", at positions 29 to 507 of the family's 1533-position model. The record is from RNAcentral.
AGUGAACGCUGGCGGUAGGCCUAACACAUGCAAGUCGAACGGCAGCACAGUAAGAGCUUGCUCUUACGGGUGGCGAGUGGCGGACGGGUGAGGAAUACAUCGGAAUCUACUUUUUCGUGGGGGAUAACGUAGGGAAACUUACGCUAAUACCGCAUACGACCUACGGGUGAAAGCAGGGGAUCUUCGGACCUUGCGCGAUUGAAUGAGCCGAUGUCGGAUUAGCUAGUUGGCGGGGUAAAGGCCCACCAAGGCGGCGAUCCGUAGCUGGUCUGAGAGGAUGAUCAGCCACACUGGAAGUGAGACAGGGUCCAUACUCCUACGGGAGGCAGCAGUCGGGAAUAUUGGACAAUGGGCGCAAGCCUGAUCCAGCCAUACCGCGUGGGUGAAGAAGGCCUCCGGGUUGUAAAGCCCUUUUGUUGGGAAAGAAAAGCAGCAGGUUAAUACCCCGCUGUUCUGACGGUACCCAAAGAAUAAGCACCGGCUAACUUCGUG